UGGGGAAUAUUGCACAAAGGGCGCAAGCCUGAUGCAGCGACGCCGCGUGGGGGAUGACGGCCUUCGGGUUGUAAACUCCUUUCGCCAGGGACGAAGCGUUUUGUGACGGUACCUGGAGAAGAAGCACCGGCUAACUACGUGCCAGCAGCCGCGGUAAUACGUAGGGUGCAAGCGUUGUCCGGAAUUACUGGGCGUAAAGAGCUCGUAGGUGGUUUGUCACGUCGUCUGUGAAAUUCCACAGCUUAACUGUGGGCGUGCAGGCGAUACGGGCUGACUUGAGUACUGUAGGGGUAACUGGAAUUCCUGGUGUAGCGGUGAAAUGCGCAGAUAUCAGGAGGAACACCGAUGGCGAAGGCAGGUUACUGGGCAGUUACUGACGCUGAGGAGCGAAAGCAUGGGUAGCAAACAGGAUUAGAUACCCUGGUAGUCCAUGCCGUAAACGGUGGGCGCUAGGUGUAGGGGCCUUUUGGGGUUUCUGUGCCGUAGCUAAACGCAUUAAGCGCCCCGCCUGGGGGAGUACGGCCGCAAGGCUA
Molecule: ribosomal RNA, 533 nt
Filed under: uncultured bacterium
Lineage: Bacteria
Description: bacterial SSU rRNA
Rfam family: Bacterial small subunit ribosomal RNA
Source: RNAcentral